RNAcentral lists this unclassified non-coding RNA (254 nucleotides) under uncultured fungus. RNAcentral describes it as "sequence contains ITS2". Lineage: Eukaryota; Fungi. The record is from RNAcentral.
AACGCACAUUGCGCCCUUUGGUAUUCCGAGGGGCAUGUCUGUUCGAGCGUCAUUUCAACCCUCAAGCUUUUGCUUGGUAUUGGGCUUUCGUCCGCCUAAGGACGUGCCUGAAACUCAUAGGCGGUUGUACCCAGCUCCCUUGCGUAGUUAUUUUAUCUCGCUCUGGAGGCUUCUGGGUAAUAACUCGCCUGAAAACCUUUUUUAUUUUCUUAAGGUUUGACCUCGGAUCAGAUAGGGAUACCCGCUGAACUUAA